CCUACGGGGGGCUGCAGUGGGGAAUAUUGGACAAUGGGCGAAAGCCUGAUCCAGCCAUGCCGCGUGUGUGAAGAAGGCCUUCGGGUUGUAAAGCACUUUCAGUGGGGAAGAAAGCCUUGGGGCUAAUACCCUCGAGGAAGGACAUCACCCACAGAAGAAGCACCGGCUAACUCCGUGCCAGCAGCCGCGGUAAUACGGAGGGUGCGAGCGUUAAUCGGAAUUACUGGGCGUAAAGCGCGCGUAGGCGGUCUGAUAAGCCGGUUGUGAAAGCCCCGGGCUCAACCUGGGAACGGCAUCCGGAACUGUCAGGAUAGAGUGCAGGAGAGGAAGGUAGAAUUCCCGGUGUAGCAGUGAAAUGCGUAGAGAUCGGGAGGAAUACCAGUGGCGAAGGCGGCCUUCUGGACUGACACUGACGCUGAGGUGCGAAAGCGUGGGUAGCAAACAGGAUUAGAUACCCUAGUAGUC
This 465-nucleotide ribosomal RNA is filed under the name Vreelandella stevensii. RNAcentral describes it as "partial 16S ribosomal RNA". It matches the Rfam family "Bacterial small subunit ribosomal RNA", at positions 338 to 795 of the family's 1533-position model. The record is from RNAcentral. Lineage: Bacteria; Pseudomonadati; Pseudomonadota; Gammaproteobacteria; Oceanospirillales; Halomonadaceae.